RNAcentral lists this long non-coding RNA (537 nucleotides) under Brassica napus (rape). RNAcentral's name for it is "long non-coding RNA (BNAP_LNC003676)". The record is from RNAcentral. Lineage: Eukaryota; Viridiplantae; Streptophyta; Magnoliopsida; Brassicales; Brassicaceae.
AUUAAUUCGAUUCUUGAAGGAUAUCCUUCGAAGAACAAAGAACAAAAUUUUCAUAAACAUUUCACUUAAGUGCUUAAUCUCAGUCCUAAUGAGUCAAAUUUCAUUCUUCUUUCGAGAACGUUAGAAUGGAAUAAAAUUAAAAUUACAAUAACGUCGAGGUAUUAGAGACGAAAGACUGGCGAGAUCUCGAUUCUUUUAGGAACGAUGAGUUCAUAACCGAUUUUAACCGCAGAUUUUGCUCCAACUUCAUUCUUCUUUCAAGUUGUCCUUCAGUGUUCUUUGUUGUUCAACCGCAGAUUUUGCUACAUCUUCUAGCAAAAUAAGGUUUAUACAUAGGAAACGUGAGGCAGUUAUGUCCGCUAGUAAGUACAAGAAGAAAUUCCAGAUACUUGCGAAAAUAAAAUAUCUUGAAAAAUUCAACAAAGAAGAAUAUAAACCUCUUGGUAAACCACAAAGUUUCUUGUAUCUUGUAUCCCUGCUUUUGAUUUUGCUUGCUUUGUGUGGAUCCCUCGUGAGAGGAACACCGAUCGAUGCAGA